This 136-nucleotide small RNA is filed under the name Salmonella enterica. Its description in RNAcentral is "RtT sRNA". It matches the Rfam family "RtT RNA". From Rfam's summary of the family: This family represents a bacterial cis-regulatory element known as RtT RNA. The exact function of RtT is unknown although it is thought that it may be involved in changing the cellular response in relation to amino acid starvation. Lineage: Bacteria; Pseudomonadati; Pseudomonadota; Gammaproteobacteria; Enterobacterales; Enterobacteriaceae. The record is from RNAcentral.
UAUCCCCCAAACCAAGGGGGGAUGAGAACCACCGACCGGGGUUCGACAACUGGCGCAGCCAGUUGGUCAGACGACGAGCUUGCGAGGAGACGGCCCGAAGGGCGAGCGCAGCGAGUCAAUCCCCCCCUCACCGCCA